AAGUCGUAACAAGGUUUCCGUAGGUGAACCUGCGGAAGGAUCAUUAUAGAGAAUAUGCCCUUCGGGGUAGAUCUCCUACCCUUUGCUUACUUUACUUUUGUUGCUUUGGCAAGCCCGUCUACUGACCACCGGCUUUUUGCUGGUCAGUGCUUGCCAGAGGAUCUCAAAUUCUUAAUAUAAUAUUGUCUGAGUACUAUAUAAUAGUUAAAACUUUCAACAACGGAUCUCUUGGUUCUG
RNAcentral lists this unclassified non-coding RNA (237 nucleotides) under Leotiomycetes sp. RNAcentral's name for it is "partial contains small subunit ribosomal RNA, internal transcribed spacer 1, and 5.8S ribosomal RNA". The stretch from base 1 to 46 matches the Rfam family "Eukaryotic small subunit ribosomal RNA", at positions 1786 to 1831 of the family's 1831-position model. Lineage: Eukaryota; Fungi; Ascomycota; Leotiomycetes. The record is from RNAcentral.